Molecule: ribosomal RNA, 394 nt
Filed under: uncultured bacterium
Lineage: Bacteria
Description: bacterial SSU rRNA
Rfam family: Bacterial small subunit ribosomal RNA
Source: RNAcentral
AUUGAACGCUGGCGGCAUGCCUUACACAUGCAAGUCGAACGGCAGCACGGGGCAACCUGGUGGCGAGUGGCGAACGGGUGAGUAAUGCAUCGGAACGUGCCAUUGAGUGGGGGAUAACGUAGCGAAAGUUGCGCUAAUACCGCAUAUUCUGUGAGCAGGAAAGCAGGGGACCGCAAGGCCUUGCGCUCUUUGAGCGGCCGAUGUCAGAUUAGCUAGUUGGUGAGGUAACGGCUUACCAAGGCGACGAUCUGUAGCGGGUCUGAGAGGAUGAUCCGCCACACUGGAACUGAGACACGGUCCAGACUCCUACGGGAGGCGGCAGUGGGGAAUUUGGACAAUGGGCGCAAGCCUGAUCCAGCCAUGCCGCGUGGGUGAAGAAGGCCUCGGUUGUAAG